RNAcentral lists this small RNA (495 nucleotides) under Pongo abelii (Sumatran orangutan). RNAcentral describes it as "processed transcript". The record is from RNAcentral. Lineage: Eukaryota; Metazoa; Chordata; Mammalia; Primates; Hominidae.
UUCUUCUGCUAGGCCCAGUGCGAGACCAGAGCACGAGCGACUCCCGUCGUCCCCGGCCAGGCAGAUGUUGCCCUAGUCCUGGCGCGAACGAAGCGCGCUAUUUCCCUGCUUCCUCUAGGCCAAGCCUGCUUUACGGCAGGGCCCGCCUUAGGAGCGAGCACAGACCGGGGCAGCGAGGCCAGCCGGGCGCCGGCGAUGUCCCCGAACGCGCACGCGCUCUGUUCAGCUCCGGGUGGCGGCCGCCGGAGUUGACGUUAGCCAUGGAAACCGAGAACUGGCCCGGGCGGGGCCGCGGUCAGCUCGUUGUUCGGCCGCCGCAGCUUUUCUGCCUCCGCAUUCGGGCAAUAACCAACCUCCCGGCGGGAGCGCCCAGCCCGGGUUUACCUGCAAAAAUGCGGUCCCCGGGAUGCCUUCGCGUCUUCCCUUCCCUCGGGUGACUUGAGUAUCACCUUUUGCCAUGAUAGCAUUUCUUUCAUUGGACAGUUCCUUACAAGG